Molecule: ribosomal RNA, 670 nt
Filed under: uncultured bacterium
Lineage: Bacteria
Description: bacterial SSU rRNA
Rfam family: Bacterial small subunit ribosomal RNA
Source: RNAcentral
AAUACCGCAUAUAGCUAUAUAGUUGCAUGAUUAUGUAGUGAAAGAUUUAUUGGUAUAGGAGGAGUCUGCGGCACAUUAGCUAGUAGGUGAGGUAAAGGCUUACCUAGGCGACGAUGUGUAGCCGGUCUGAGAGGAUGAACGGCCACAAUGGAACUGAGACACGGUCCAUACUCCUACGGGAGGCAGCAGUGGGGAAUAUUGCACAAUGGGGGAAACCCUGAUGCAGCAACGCCGCGUGAGUGAAGAAGGUUUUCGGAUUGUAAAGCUCUGUUAGCAGGGAAGAGGAAGGACGGUACCUGCAGAGGAAGCCACGGCUAACUACGUGCCAGCAGCCGCGGUAAUACGUAGGUGGCAAGCGUUGUUCGGAAUAACUGGGCGUAAAGGAUGCGUAGGCGGUUAAACAAGUUAUAUGUUAAAUAUAUAGGCUUAACCUGUAGAAAGCAUAUAAAACUGUUUAACUAGAGUGCAGGAGAGGUAAGUGGAAUUCCUAGUGUAGCGGUGAAAUGCGUAGAGAUUAGGAAGAACACCAGUGGCGAAGGCGACUUACUGGACUGUAACUGACGCUGAGGCAUGAGAGCAUGGGGAGCAAACAGGAUUAGAUACCCUGGUAGUCCAUGCUGUAAACGAUGAAUACUAGGUGUGGGUUGUGAAUAACAAUUCGUGCCGUCGC